RNAcentral lists this transfer RNA (72 nucleotides) under bacterium. RNAcentral describes it as "tRNA-Met". It matches the Rfam family "tRNA". Rfam says of the family: Transfer RNA (tRNA) molecules are approximately 80 nucleotides in length. Their secondary structure includes four short double-helical elements and three loops (D, anti-codon, and T loops). Further hydrogen bonds mediate the characteristic L-shaped molecular structure. tRNAs have two regions of fundamental functional importance: the anti-codon, which is responsible for specific mRNA codon recognition, and the 3' end, to which the tRNAs corresponding amino acid is attached (by aminoacyl-tRNA synthetases). tRNAs cope with the degeneracy of the genetic code in two manners: having more than one tRNA (with a specific anti-codon) for a particular amino acid; and 'wobble' base-pairing, i.e. permitting non-standard base-pairing at the 3rd anti-codon position. The record is from RNAcentral.
GGCUGGGUAGCUCAGUGGUAGAGCACAGGACUCAUAAGCCUGGUGUCGUGAGUUCGAUCCUCACCCCAGCCA